AAACCAACAGGGAUUGCCUCAGUAACGGCGAGUGAAGCGGCAAAAGCUCAAAUUUGAAAUCCUUCGGGAGUUGUAAUUUGUAGGUUGGGAGACCCCGCGGCUAGUGGCACCAAGUCCCUUGGAACAGGGCGCCUUAGAGGGUGAGAGCCCCGUAGGUACCACAAUACCGUCUUGUGUCUCCUCUCCAAAGAGUCGAGUUGUUUGGGAAUGCAGCUCAAAGUGGGUGGUAAAUUCCAUCUAAAGCUAAAUACCGGCGAGAGACCGAUAGCGAACAAGUACAGUGAUGGAAAGAUGAAAAGCACUUUGAAAAGAGAGUGAAACAGUACGUGAAAUUGUUGAAAGGGAAGGGCUUGCAAGCAGACACGGCCUUCGUGCCGGGCCAGCAUCGGUUGCUAGGGGUGGAUAAGGAACAAGGAAUGUAGCUCCUCGGAGUAUUAUAGCCUUGCGCGAUACACCCACUGGCGACCGAGGCCUGCGGUAUUCCUACCUAGGAUGCUGGCGUAAUGGUUGCAAGCCGCCCGUCUUGAAACACGGACC
This 537-nucleotide ribosomal RNA is filed under the name Sungouiella intermedia. RNAcentral describes it as "eukaryotic LSU rRNA". It matches the Rfam family "Eukaryotic large subunit ribosomal RNA", at positions 62 to 667 of the family's 3401-position model. Lineage: Eukaryota; Fungi; Ascomycota; Pichiomycetes; Serinales; Metschnikowiaceae. The record is from RNAcentral.